UACGUAGGGGGCAAGCGUUGUCCGGAUUUAUUGGGCGUAAAGAGCUCGUAGGCGGUUCCGUAAGUCGUGAAGUCAAAUCUCUGGGCUCAACCCAGAAUCGCUUCCGAUACUGCGGUGACUGGAGUCCGGUAGGGGAGUGUGGAAUUCCUGGUGUAGCGGUGAAAUGCGUAGAGAUGUGGAGGAACACCAGUGGCGAAGGCGGCUUUCUGGUCUGUAACUGACGCUGAGGCGCGAAAGCGUGGGGAGCAAACAGGG
RNAcentral lists this ribosomal RNA (255 nucleotides) under uncultured bacterium. Its description in RNAcentral is "partial 16S ribosomal RNA". It matches the Rfam family "Bacterial small subunit ribosomal RNA", at positions 524 to 777 of the family's 1533-position model. The record is from RNAcentral.